AAGAAGUAAAGGCACAGCUAAGGAAACUUAGCGUCGCAAAGCUAUAGGGGCUAACGGGAUACCUAUGCCAGCCAGCUGCCAUU
This is a non-coding RNA of Anoxybacillus flavithermus WK1, 83 nucleotides long. Lineage: Bacteria; Bacillati; Bacillota; Bacilli; Caryophanales; Anoxybacillaceae. The record is from Rfam.